UACGGAGGGGGCCAGCGUUGUUCGGAAUCAUUGGGCGUAAAGGGCGCGUAGGCGGCCGAUCAAGUCGGAGGUGAAAUCCCUCGGCUCAACUGAGGAAUUGCCUCCGAUACUGUUCGGCUUGAGUCCUGGAGAGGGUAGUGGAAUUCUCGGUGUAGCGGUGAAAUGCGUAGAUAUCGAGAGGAACACCUGCGGCGAAGGCGGGUUGCUGGGCUGACACUGACGCUGAGGCGCGAAAGCUAGGGGAGCGAACGGG
RNAcentral lists this ribosomal RNA (253 nucleotides) under uncultured prokaryote. Its description in RNAcentral is "partial 16S ribosomal RNA". It matches the Rfam family "Bacterial small subunit ribosomal RNA", at positions 524 to 776 of the family's 1533-position model. The record is from RNAcentral.